UACGUAGGUGGCAAGCGUUGUCGGGAAUUAUUGGGCGUAAAGCGCGCGCAGGCGGUCCUUUAAGUCUGAUGUGAAAGCCCACGGCUCAACCGUGGAGGGUCAUUGGAAACUGGGGGACUUGAGUGCAGGAGAGAAGAGUGGAAUUCCACGUGUAGCGGUGAAAUGCGUAGAGAUGUGGAGGAACACCAGUGGCGAAGGCGACUCUUUGGUCUGUAACUGACGCUGAGGCGCGAAAGCGUGGGGAGCAAACAGG
RNAcentral lists this ribosomal RNA (253 nucleotides) under uncultured bacterium. RNAcentral's name for it is "partial 16S ribosomal RNA". It matches the Rfam family "Bacterial small subunit ribosomal RNA", at positions 524 to 776 of the family's 1533-position model. The record is from RNAcentral.